This 497-nucleotide ribosomal RNA is filed under the name uncultured bacterium. RNAcentral's name for it is "partial 16S ribosomal RNA". It matches the Rfam family "Bacterial small subunit ribosomal RNA", at positions 28 to 507 of the family's 1533-position model. The record is from RNAcentral.
GAUGAACGCUGGCGGCGUGCCUAACACAUGCAAGUCGAGCGGAUAGACGAUGCUUUUGCGCGGCUGUCGCGUGGGGCGGGCGGGUGAUACACACGAGUAUCCCCUCCCUUUAUGACUGAGAUCAUUACGGGACCGCGGAUCUCACCUCGUAUAAGAUCUUGAACCGCGGGGUUCGUUGGAGAUAUUCGGCUGUGGUGACUCUACUAGCGGUUUACAAGCCGGAUGGGCUAGUUGGUACGGUAACGGCUUACCAAGGCUAGGAUGCGUGGCCGACCUGAGAGGGUGAUCGGCCACACUGGAACGGAGACACGGUCCAGAGUCCUACGGGAGGCAGCAGUAGGGAAUCUUCCGCAAUGGGCGAAAGCCUGACGGAGCAACGCCGCGUGUGUGAUGAAGGUCUUCGGAUCGUAAAACUCUGUUAUUGGGGAAGAACAAAUGUGUAAGUAAAUAUGCACGUCUUGACGGUACCUAAUCAGAAAGCCACGGCUAACUACGUG